UAGUGGCGAACGGGUGAGUAACACGUGGGCAAUCUGCCCUUCACUCUGGGACAAGCCCUGGAAACGGGGUCUAAUACCGGAUAACACUGCGGAUCGCAUGGUCUGCGGUUAAAAGCUCCGGCGGUGAAGGAUGAGCCCGCGGCCUAUCAGCUUGNUGGUGAGGUAGUGGCUCACCAAGGCGACGACGGGUAGCCGGCCUGAGAGGGCGACCGGCCACACUGGGACUGAGACACGGCCCAGACUCCUACGGGAGGCAGCAGUGGGGAAUAUUGCACAAUGGGCGAAAGCCUGAUGCAGCGACGCCGCGUGAGGGAUGACGGCCUUCGGGUUGNAAACCUCUUUCAGCAGGGAAGAAGCGAAAGUGACGGUACCUGCAGAAGAAGCGCCGGCUAACUACGUGCCAGCAGCCGCGGUAAUACGUAGGGCGCAAGCGUUGUCCGGAAUUAUUGGGCGUAAAGAGCUNGUAGGCGGGCUUGUCACGUCGAUUGNGAAAGCCCGAGGCUUAACCUCGGGUCUGCAGUCGAUACGGGCUAGCUANAGUGUGGUAGGGGNAGAUCGGAAUUCCU
This 566-nucleotide ribosomal RNA is filed under the name Streptomyces sp. 387A05. RNAcentral's name for it is "bacterial SSU rRNA". It matches the Rfam family "Bacterial small subunit ribosomal RNA", at positions 93 to 671 of the family's 1533-position model. Lineage: Bacteria; Bacillati; Actinomycetota; Actinomycetes; Kitasatosporales; Streptomycetaceae. The record is from RNAcentral.